This 369-nucleotide long non-coding RNA is filed under the name Nicotiana benthamiana. RNAcentral describes it as "long non-coding RNA (NBEN_LNC035428)". The record is from RNAcentral. Lineage: Eukaryota; Viridiplantae; Streptophyta; Magnoliopsida; Solanales; Solanaceae.
GACAUCUCCAUGAUUUUGAGUACUGAAGACCACCAAGAACUUAUGAAUACAAUUGCAGCAAACACUGGCGCUCAGUUAUCUCUCAUUCCUUCAAUUCCUGAUGUGCAUUCAUCAAUGGAGGCCACCAAGAACUUAUGAAUACAAUUGCAGCAAAAACUGGUGCUCAGUUAUCUCUCAUUCCUUCAACUCCCGACGUGCAUUCAUCAACGGAGCAUGACCAGUCAAAAAAUGUGGUUUCUGAUGGUCAACAAAAUCUGCUAGAAAUCAAUUCCUACGAGAUAAUGGGUAGUUUGUCUGUGGCUUGAUAUGGUUAUUAAUUUCCCUGUUUGAGAUGUUUGGAGCUCAUCUAUGUCAUUUUCCUUUGUUCUG